Molecule: non-coding RNA, 327 nt
Filed under: Sarcophilus harrisii (Tasmanian devil)
Lineage: Eukaryota; Metazoa; Chordata; Mammalia; Dasyuromorphia; Dasyuridae
Description: Bacterial large subunit ribosomal RNA
Rfam family: Bacterial large subunit ribosomal RNA
Source: Rfam by way of RNAcentral
ACUGGGUGGAAGCCCCUGAAUUAUAGUCUUUGGUUGGGGUGACCUCAGAGCAUAAAAUAACCUCCGAAUGAAUAUAACCUAGAUCAACGAAUCUAAGUGUAACGAUACCAGUAAUUGACCCAUCUCUUGAUCAACGGAACAAGUUACCCCAGGGAUAACAGCGCAAUCCUAUUUGAGAGCCCAUAUCGAAAAUUAGGGUUUACGACCUCGAUGUUGGAUCAGGACACCCAAAUGGUGCAACCACUAUUAAAGGUUCGUUUGUUCAAUGAUUAAAGUCCUACGUGAUCUGAGUUCAGACUGGAGAAAUCCAGGUCGGUUUCUAUCUGU